Molecule: ribosomal RNA, 458 nt
Filed under: uncultured bacterium
Lineage: Bacteria
Description: partial 16S ribosomal RNA
Rfam family: Bacterial small subunit ribosomal RNA
Source: RNAcentral
CCUACGGGAGACAGCAGUGAGGAAUAUUGGUCAAUGGGCGAGAGCCUGAACCAGCCAAGUCGCGUGAGGGAGUACUGCCCUAUGGGUUGUAAACCUCUUUUGUCGGGGAGCAAAAGCCGGACGUGUCCGGCUGUGAGAGUACCCGAAGAAAAAGCAUCGGCUAACUCCGUGCCAGCAGCCGCGGUAAUACGGGGGAUGCGAGCGUUAUCCGGCUUUAUUGGGGUUAAAGGGUGCGCAGGCGGAUUUUUAAGUCAGCGGUCAAAUCGUGGGGCUCAACCCCAUCCAGCCGUUGAAACUGGGGAUCUAGAGUGUGCGAGAGGUAUGCGGAAUGCGUGGUGUAGCGGUGAAAUGCAUAGAUAUCACGCAGAACCCCGAUUGCGAAGGCAGCAUACCGGUGCACAACUGACGCUCAGGCACGAAAGCGUGGGUAUCGAACAGGAUUAGAUACCCCAGUAGUC